Molecule: long non-coding RNA, 406 nt
Organism: Lemur catta (Ring-tailed lemur)
Lineage: Eukaryota; Metazoa; Chordata; Mammalia; Primates; Lemuridae
Exons: 3
Source: RefSeq, a predicted model, not a curated record
ACAAGAACAGCUUAGACAAAGGGAGAAAUCAGGAAGUGUGCUUAUUAACCUCAGAAAUGAAUACAUAGGAAUGCCAACUGAUUUUAGACAAUGACUCCAAAGAAGUUGUUCCACACUCUGCUGGGACAAAUCACAGAACCCCAUAAACAACUACCACGCUGAAGGUGGAUUCCAAGGAUGCUAGAUGUACUGCAAAGGAAAGGACGAUUCCACACAAUAAAGUCUUAUGAGCACCACACAAUUUCAAAAGGUCUUUCUGUCCAUUCCUGUAGGAACUACGGUAAGAAUUCAUGGGAUUCAUACAGAUCAUGGGAGGAUGUUCUAACUGUUCAAGUACAUUAAAAAGGUCAAAAAGGCUAUUUAUUUAUAAUCUCAGAGUUUUGGGGACAGAUUUUCAAAGAAUGAA